AUUGAACGCUGGCGGCAGGCCUAACACAUGCAAGUCGAGCGGAUGAAGGGAGCUUGCUCCUGGAUUCAGCGGCGGACGGGUGAGUAAUGCCUAGGAAUCUGCCUGGUAGUGGGGGAUAACGUCCGGAAACGGGCGCUAAUACCGCAUACGUCCUGAGGGAGAAAGUGGGGGAUCUUCGGACCUCACGCUAUCAGAUGAGCCUAGGUCGGAUUAGCUAGUUGGUGGGGUAAAGGCCUACCAAGGCGACGAUCCGUAACUGGUCUGAGAGGAUGAUCAGUCACACUGGAACUGGGACACGGUCCAGACUCCUACGGGAGGCAGCAGUGGGGAAUAUGGGACAGUGGGCGAAAGCCUGAUCCAGCCAUGCCGCGUGUGUGAAGAAGGUCUUCGGAUUGUAAAGCACUUUAAGUUGGGAGGAAGGGCAGUAAGUUAAUACCUUGCUGUUUUGACGUUACCAACAGAAUAAGCACCGGCUAACUUCGUG
This 484-nucleotide ribosomal RNA is filed under the name uncultured bacterium. Its description in RNAcentral is "partial 16S ribosomal RNA". It matches the Rfam family "Bacterial small subunit ribosomal RNA", at positions 30 to 507 of the family's 1533-position model. The record is from RNAcentral.